RNAcentral lists this ribosomal RNA (464 nucleotides) under Segatella oris. RNAcentral describes it as "bacterial SSU rRNA". It matches the Rfam family "Bacterial small subunit ribosomal RNA", at positions 28 to 480 of the family's 1533-position model. The record is from RNAcentral. Lineage: Bacteria; Pseudomonadati; Bacteroidota; Bacteroidia; Bacteroidales; Prevotellaceae.
GAUGAACGCUGGCUACAGGCUUAACACAUGCAAGUCGAGGGGAAACGACGGGGAAGCUUGCUUCCCCGGGCGUCGACCGGCGCACGGGUGAGUAACGCGUAUCCAACCUGCCUCUGACUGAGGGAUAACCCGUCGAAAGUCGGCCUAAUACCUCAUGGCAUCGUCUGCGGGCAUCCAACGACGAUUAAAGAUUUCAUCGGUCAGAGAUGGGGAUGCGUCUGAUUAGCUUGUUGGCGGGGUAACGGCCCACCAAGGCUACGAUCAGUAGGGGUUCUGAGAGGAAGGUCCCCCACAUUGGAACUGAGACACGGUCCAAACUCCUACGGGAGGCAGCAGUGAGGAAUAUUGGUCAAUGGGCGAGAGCCUGAACCAGCCAAGUAGCGUGCAGGAAGACGGCCCUAUGGGUUGUAAACUGCUUUUAUGCGGGGAUAAAGUGAGGGACGUGUCCUUCAUUGCAGGUACCG